GUGUGACUGCGUACCUUUUGUAUAAUGGGUCAGCGACUUAUAUUCUGUAGCAAGGUUAACCGUAUAGGGGAGCCGGAGGGAAACCGAGUCUUAAUUGGGCGUUAAGUUGCAGGGUAUAGACCCGAAACCCGGUGAUCUAGCCAUGGGCAGGUUGAAGGUUGGGUAACACUAACUGGAGGACCGAACCGACUAAUGUUGAAAAAUUAGCGGAUGACCUGUGGCUGGGGGUGAAAGGCCAAUCAAACCGGGAGAUAGCUGGUUCUCCCCGAAAGCUAUUUAGGUAGCGCCUCGUGAAUUCAUCUCCGGGGGUAGAGCACUGUUUCGGCUAGGGGGCCAUCCCGGCUUACCAACCCGAUGCAAACUGCGAAUACCGGAGAAUGUUAUCACGGGAGACACACGGCGGGUGCUAACGUCCGUCGUGAAGAGGGAAACAACCCAGACCGCCAGCUAAGGUCCCAAAGUCAUGGUUAAGUGGGAAACGAUGUGGGAAGGCCCAGACAGCCAGGAUGUUGGCUUAGAAGCAGCCAUCAUUUAAAGAAAGCGUAAUAGCUCACUGGUCGAGUCGGCCUGCGCGGAAGAUGUAACGGGGCUAAACCAUGCACCGAAGCUGCGGCAGCGACGCUGAUGCGUUGUUGGGUAGGGGAGCGUUCUGUAAGCCUGCGAAGGUGACCUGUGAGGGUUGCUGGAGGUAUCAGAAGUGCGAAUGCUGACAUAAGUAACGAUAAAGCGGGUGAAAAGCCCGCUCGCCGGAAGACCAAGGGUUCCUGUCCAACGUUAAUCGGGGCAGGGUGAGUCGACCCCUAAGGCGAGGCCGAAAGGCGUAGUCGAUGGGAAACGGGUUAAUAUUCCCGUACUUGGUGUUACUGCGAAGGGGGGACGGAGAAGGCUAUGUUGGCCGGGCGACGGUUGUCCCGGUUUAAGCGUGUAGGUGUGUGUUCCAGGUAAAUCCGGUUCACUUUAACACUGAGGCGUGACGACGAGGCACUACGGUGCUGAAGCAACAAAUGCCCUGCUUCCAGGAAAAGCCUCUAAGCAUCAGGUAACACGAAAUCGUACCCCAAACCGACACAGGUGGUCAGGUAGAGAAUACCAAGGCGCUUGAGAGAACUCGGGUGAAGGAACUAGGCAAAAUGGUGCCGUAACUUCGGGAGAAGGCACGCUGACACGUAGGUGAAGUGAUUUACUCAUGGAGCUGAAGUCAGUCGAAGAUACCAGCUGGCUGCAACUGUUUAUUAAAAACACAGCACUGUGCAAACACGAAAGUGGACGUAUACGGUGUGACGCCUGCCCGGUGCCGGAAGGUUAAUUGAUGGGGUCAGCGCAAGCGAAGCUCCUGAUCGAAGCCCCGGUAAACGGCGGCCGUAACUAUAACGGUCCUAAGGUAGCGAAAUUCCUUGUCGGGUAAGUUCCGACCUGCACGAAUGGCGUAAUGAUGGCCAGGCUGUCUCCACCCGAGACUCAGUGAAAUUGAACUCGCUGUGAAGAUGCAGUGUACCCGCGGCAAGACGGAAAGACCCCGUGAACCUUUACUAUAGCUUGACACUGAACAUUGAGCCUUGAUGUGUAGGAUAGGUGGGAGGCUUUGAAGUGUGGACGCCAGUCUGCAUGGAGCCGACCUUGAAAUACCACCCUUUAAUGUUUGAUGUUCUAACGUGGACCCGUAAUCCGGGUUGCGGACAGUGUCUGGUGGGUAGUUUGACUGGGGCGGUCUCCUCCUAAAGAGUAACGGAGGAGCACGAAGGUUGGCUAAUCCUGGUCGGACAUCAGGAGGUUAGUGCAAUGGCAUAAGCCAGCUUGACUGCGAGCGUGACGGCGCGAGCAGGUGCGAAAGCAGGUCAUAGUGAUCCGGUGGUUCUGAAUGGAAGGGCCAUCGCUCAACGGAUAAAAGGUACUCCGGGGAUAACAGGCUGAUACCGCCCAAGAGUUCAUAUCGACGGCGGUGUUUGGCACCUCGAUGUCGGCUCAUCACAUCCUGGGGCUGAAGUAGGUCCCAAGGGUAUGGCUGUUCGCCAUUUAAAGUGGUACGCGAGCUGGGUUUAGAACGUCGUGAGACAGUUCGGUCCCUAUCUGCCGUGGGCGCUGGAGAACUGAGGGGGGCUGCUCCUAGUACGAGAGGACCGGAGUGGACGCAUCACUGGUGUUCGGGUUGUCAUGCCAAUGGCACUGCCCGGUAGCUAAAUGCGGAAGAGAUAAGUGCUGAAAGCAUCUAAGCACGAAACUUGCCCCGAGAUGAGUUCUCCCUGAGACUUAGAGUCUCCUGAAGGAACGUUGAAGACGACGACGUUGAUAGGCCGGGUGUGUAAGCGCAGCGAUGCGUUGAGCUAACCGGUACUAAUGAACCGUGAGGCUUAACCUU
RNAcentral lists this ribosomal RNA (2356 nucleotides) under Salmonella enterica subsp. enterica serovar Typhimurium str. DT104. Its description in RNAcentral is "bacterial LSU rRNA". It matches the Rfam family "Bacterial large subunit ribosomal RNA", at positions 591 to 2925 of the family's 2925-position model. The record is from RNAcentral. Lineage: Bacteria; Pseudomonadati; Pseudomonadota; Gammaproteobacteria; Enterobacterales; Enterobacteriaceae.